RNAcentral lists this transfer RNA (67 nucleotides) under uncultured Hydrogenophaga sp. It matches the Rfam family "tRNA". From Rfam's summary of the family: Transfer RNA (tRNA) molecules are approximately 80 nucleotides in length. Their secondary structure includes four short double-helical elements and three loops (D, anti-codon, and T loops). The record is from RNAcentral. Lineage: Bacteria; Pseudomonadati; Pseudomonadota; Betaproteobacteria; Burkholderiales; Comamonadaceae. RNAcentral also lists the same sequence under 3 other names.
CGGGUGUAGUUCAAUGGCAGAACGGCAGCUUCCCAAGCUUCAUACGAGGGUUCGAUUCCCUUCACCC